RNAcentral lists this ribosomal RNA (767 nucleotides) under uncultured Bacteroidota bacterium. RNAcentral's name for it is "bacterial SSU rRNA". It matches the Rfam family "Bacterial small subunit ribosomal RNA", at positions 150 to 918 of the family's 1533-position model. Lineage: Bacteria; Pseudomonadati; Bacteroidota. The record is from RNAcentral.
AGAGAAAUUUGGAUUAAUACCUCAUAAUAUUGUGAUUUGGCAUCAUUUCACAAUUAAAGCUUCGGCGGUUAAAGAUGAGCAUGCGUCCUAUUAGUUAGUUGGUAAGGUAACGGCUUACCAAGACAGCGAUAGGUAGGGGGCCUGAAAGGGUGAUCCCCCACACUGGUACUGAGACACGGACCAGACUCCUACGGGAGGCAGCAGUGAGGAAUAUUGCGCAAUGGAGGAAACUCUGACGCAGCCAUGCCGCGUGCAGGAAGACGGCCCUACGGGUUGUAAACUGCUUUUAUAUAGGAAGAAACCCCGAUACGUGUAUCGGCUUGACGGUACUAUAUGAAUAAGGACCGGCUAACUCCGUGCCAGCAGCCGCGGUAAUACGGAGGGUCCAAGCGUUAUCCGGAUUUAUUAGGUUUAAAGGGUCCGCAGGCGGGAUUUUAAGUCAGUGGUGAAAGCCUACAGCUCAACUGUAGAACUGCCAUUGAUACUGAAAUCCUUGAGUGUGGUUGAAGUGGGCGGAACAUGUCAUGUAGCGGUGAAAUGCAUAGAUAUGACAUAGAACACCAAUUGCGAAGGCAGCUCACUAAGCCAUUACUGACGCUGAGGGACGAAAGCGUGGGGAGCGAACAGGAUUAGAUACCCUGGUAGUCCACGCCGUAAACGAUGAUCACUCGUUGCUAGCGAUACACUGUUAGUGACCAAGCGAAAGUGUUAAGUGAUCCACCUGGGAAGUACGUUCGCAAGAAUGAAACUCAAAGGAAUUGACGGGG